AACAAGGUAUUUUAUAAAGAAUAGCUGGUUUGCGUCUAGUUGGUGGCACACGCCCUUUGUUA
Molecule: transfer RNA, 62 nt
Filed under: Khawia sinensis
Lineage: Eukaryota; Metazoa; Platyhelminthes; Cestoda; Caryophyllidea; Lytocestidae
Description: tRNA-Ala
Source: RNAcentral